GACGAACGCUGGCGGCGUGCUUAACACAUGCAAGUCGAACGGAAAGGCCUUUUCGGAUGUCCUCGAGUGGCGAACGGGUGAGUAACACGUGGGUGAUCUGCCCUGCACUCUGGGAUAAGCCUGGGAAACUGGGUCUAAUACCGGUUAGGACCGCGCUUGAGAGUGUGUGGUGGAAAGGUUUUUCGGUGUAGGAUUAGCCCGCGGCCGAUCAGCUUGUUGGUGGGGUAAUGGCCUACCAAGGCGGCGACGUGUAGCCGGACUGAGAGGUUGGUCGGCCACACUGAGACUGACAGGCGGCCCCGGCGCCUAAGGGUGGAAGAAGGGGGGAAUCCUGCACCAUGGGCGCAAGCCUGAUGAAGAGAGGCCGCGUGGGGGAUGCCGGCCUUGGGGUUGAAAAAACGCUUCGCCAGGGACGAAGCGGGUUGUGACGGUACCGGAAGAAGAAGCACCGGCUAACUACGUG
This 463-nucleotide ribosomal RNA is filed under the name uncultured bacterium. RNAcentral's name for it is "partial 16S ribosomal RNA". It matches the Rfam family "Bacterial small subunit ribosomal RNA", at positions 28 to 507 of the family's 1533-position model. The record is from RNAcentral.